RNAcentral lists this ribosomal RNA (497 nucleotides) under uncultured bacterium. Its description in RNAcentral is "partial 16S ribosomal RNA". It matches the Rfam family "Bacterial small subunit ribosomal RNA", at positions 28 to 507 of the family's 1533-position model. The record is from RNAcentral.
GAUGAACGCUGGCGGCGUGCCUAAUACAUGCAAGUCGGGCGAACGGACGCGAAGCUUGCUUUUCUGAUGUUAGCGGCGGAGGGGUGAGUAACACGUGGAUAACCUACCUAUAAUACUGGGAUAACUUCGGGAAACCGGAGCUAAUACCGGAUAAUCUUUUGAACCGUAUGGUGCAAAGGAGAAAGACGGUCUUGCUGUCUCUUAUAGAUGGAUCCGCGCUGCAUGAGGUAGUUGGUAAGGUAACGGCUUACCAAGGCAACGAUGCAUGGCCGAGCUGAGAGGGUGAUCGGCCACACUGGAACGGAGACACGGUCCAGACUCCUACGGGAGGCAGCAGUAGGGAAUCUUCCGCAAUGGGCGAAAGCCUGACGGAGCAACGCCGCGUGAGUGAUGAAGGUCUUGGGAUCGUAAAACUCUGUUAUUAGGGAAGAACAUAUGUGUAAGUAAAUGUGCACAUCUUGACGGUACCUAAUCAGAAAGCCACGGCUAACUACGUG